Molecule: ribosomal RNA, 256 nt
Filed under: uncultured bacterium
Lineage: Bacteria
Description: partial 16S ribosomal RNA
Rfam family: Bacterial small subunit ribosomal RNA
Source: RNAcentral
UAAUACGAAGGGGGCUAGCGUUGCUCGGAAUCACUGGGCGUAAAGGGCGCGUAGGCGGAUGAUUAAGUCGGAGGUGAAAGCCCAGGGCUCAACCCUGGAAUUGCCUUCGAUACUGAUCGUCUCGAGAAUGGAAGAGGUAAGUGGAAUACCGAGUGUAGAGGUGAAAUUCGUAGAUAUUCGGUGGAACACCAGUGGCGAAGGCGACUUACUGGUCCAUUUCUGACGCUGAGGCGCGAAAGCGUGGGGAUCAAACAGG